This 468-nucleotide ribosomal RNA is filed under the name uncultured bacterium. RNAcentral's name for it is "partial 16S ribosomal RNA". It matches the Rfam family "Bacterial small subunit ribosomal RNA", at positions 28 to 507 of the family's 1533-position model. The record is from RNAcentral.
GACGAACGCUGGCGGCGUGCUUAACACAUGCAAGUCGAACGGAAAGGCCCUGCUUUUGUGGGGUGCUCGAGUGGCGAACGGGUGAGUAACACGUGAGUAACCUGCCCUUGACUUUGGGAUAACUUCAGGAAACUGGGGCUAAUACCGGAUAGGAGCUCCUGCUGCAGGGUGGGGGUUGGAAAGUUGCGGCGGUUGGGGAUGGACUCGCGGCUUAUCAGCUUGUUGGUUGGGUAGUGGCUUACCAAGGCUUUGACGGGUAGCCGGCCUGAGAGGGUGACCGGCCACCUUGGGCCUGAGAUACGGACCAGACUGCUACGGGAGGCAGUAGUGGGGAAUAUUGCACAGUGGGCGGAAGCCUGAUGCAGCAACGCCGGGUGCGGGAUGACGGCCUGCGGGUUGUAAACCGCUUUCGCCUGUGACGAAGCGUGAGUGACGGUAAUGGGUAAAGAAGCACCGGCUAACUACGUG